This 472-nucleotide ribosomal RNA is filed under the name Petricola japonica. Its description in RNAcentral is "partial large subunit ribosomal RNA". It matches the Rfam family "Bacterial large subunit ribosomal RNA", at positions 1842 to 2620 of the family's 2925-position model. The record is from RNAcentral. Lineage: Eukaryota; Metazoa; Mollusca; Bivalvia; Venerida; Petricolidae.
ACUAUAAGAGUCUGGCCUGCCCGGUGAGUGAUUAAACGGCUGCAAUGAGAAUUGUACUAAGGUAGCGUGAUAAUUCGUCUUUUAAUUGGAGAAUGGUAUGAAUGGUUUAAUGCAGAAAAAUUGUCUCUAGAGAAAUAAAUGAAGUUUCCUUUUAAGUGAAAAGGCUUAACUUUUUGUAAAAGACGAGAAGACCCUGUCGAGUUUAAUUAGGUCUGCAAGAAUACUUGCGGGUUGAAAUUUUAUUGGGGCAAUAUAAGGGAAAGAAAACUCCUUAUUUUUAUAAUGAAGAUCCUUUUAGAAAGAAAACAGCAAAAGCUACCGCAGGGAUAACAGCGUUAUCUUUUUUGAGAGAUCUUAUUGAGAAAAAGGUUUGCGACCUCGAUGUUGGAUUAGGGAAACUCUAUGGUGCAGCAGUUAUAAGAGUGGGACUGUUCGUCCUUUAAUUCCCUACAUGAUCUGAGUCAAAACCGGA